AUGCCAUCAAGAUGUGAAGAGCUUCCCAUGCCAGAUGUGCCAAUAAGGCCAACUCCACCCAGAGACACCCUGAAAAUUGAUCACCUCCUUACCCUCCUCAUUCAAAAAAUAGUAACCAUAGAAAGUGAGAUGAAGGCAAUGAGGAGCUCAAUAGCAGCCAUGCAUGAACUUUAUGCUCGUGCCCUGGGUGAUGGGACUUGCCAGCAAGCAGAGGAGAUGAGCCUUGAAGUGUGUGGCACCAUCAAUAAACUCCUCUCCCUUGAAGAAAAGAUGAAAGACGACACCUUUAGGAAGAAAGUGACACAUCAUUUAUGCCUCGUUGGAGGUCCAAACCCUGGGGAGAACACCCGGCGGGUAAUGCGGGCAGUGGCCUCCUACGGCGUUUGGAAGGAAUUCAGCCUAAAGGGGAAAAAAGUAAAGAGACCACUCCAAAACCUGAUUAUCAUGAAAAUCUUAAUAAAGGCAGUGAUGAGGUCCAAUCCUGGGAUCCAGCAAGCCAAAGUGGAAGACAUUGUAGCAGACACAUUAAAACAUACUCCAGCAAGGUGUCAGAAUGUAAGCUUCUUUUUAAGUUCUAUCUUAAAGGAUCCUAAAAUUUCACGGUUUGAAAUGUGUUUAAAUUUUGAUUCUGUUGUUUGUAAGGAUGUUAGUGAUAUAUAUUUCAUGAAUAGCAGAACUUUUAAUAACUAAUUUUCUUUUUGUUUUGUUUUGUUUUUUAAAGAGUGUCUUCUAAAUCAGCAAGUUAGGAGUUACCUGUAGCCUAAAGAUGUUUUUUGAAUAAGAGUGUACAUUAUGAAUGUACUAUAGGUAUGAAUUAUUAGGGCUGGGUGAUAUGGGCAAAAAUUUAUCUCUCUAUUUUUUGGGCCGAUUUACAAUAAACGGUAUAUAUCUCGGUAUUCUCGUUUUUGUAUAUAUAUAAACAAAUCUGUAUGUAAUAUAUAAAUACACACACAAUACAGACCAAAAGUUGGACACACCUUCUCAUUCAAAGAGUUUUCUUUAUUUUCAUGACUAUGAAAAUUGUAGAUUCACACUGAAGGCAUCAAAACUAUGAAUUAACACAUGUGGAAUUAUAUACAUAACAAAAAAGUGUGAAACAACUGAAAAUAUGUCAUAUUGUAGGUUCUUCAAAGUAGCCACCUUUUGCUUUGAUUACUGCUUUGCACACUCUUGGCCUUCUCUUGAUGAGCUUCAAGAGGUAGUCACCUGAAAUGGUCUUCCAACAGUCUUGAAGGAGUUCCCGAGAGAUGCUUAGCACUUGUUGACCCUUUUGCCUUCUGUCUGCGGUCCAGCUCACCACUAAACCAUCUCGAUUGGGUUCAGGUCCGGUGACUGUGGAGACCAGGUCAUCUGGCGCAGCACCCCUUCACUCUCCUUCUUGGUCAAAUAACCCUUACACAGCCUGGAGGUGUGUUUGGGGUCAUUGUCAUGUUGAAAAAUAAAUGAUGGUCCAACUAAACGCAAACUGGAUGGAAUAGCAUGCCGCUGCAAGAUGCUGUGGUAUCCAUGCUGGUUCAGUAUGCCUUCAAUUUUGAAUAAAUCCCCAACAGUGUCACCAGCAAAGCACCCCCACACCAUCACACCUCCUCCUCCAUUCUUCACGGUGGGAACCAGGCAUGUAGAGUCCAUCCGUUCACCUUUUCUGUGUCGCACAAAGACACGGUGGUUGGAACCAAAGAUCUCAAAUUUGGACUCAUCAGACCAAAGCACAGAUUUCCACUGGUCUAAUGUCCUUCCUUGUGUUCUUUAGCCCAAACAAGUCUCUUCUGCUUGUUGCAUUCUUUAGCAGUGGUUUCCUAGCAGAUAUUCUACCAUGAAGGCCUGAUUCACACAGUCUCCUCUUAACAGUUGUUCUAGAGAUGUGUCUGCUGCUAGAACUCUGUGUGCCAUUGACCUGGUCUCUAAUCUGAGCUGCUGUUAACCUGCGAUUUCUGAGGCUGGUGACUCGUAUGAACUUAUCCUCCGCAGCAGAGGUGACUCUUGGUCUACCUUUCAUGGGGUGGUCCGCAUGUGAGCCAGUUUCUUUGUAGCGCUUGAUGGUUUUUGUGACUGCACUUGGGGACACUUACAAAGUUUUCCCAAUUUUUCGGACUCACUGACCUUCAUUUCUUAAAGUAAUGAUGGCCACUCGUUUUCCUGUACUUAGCUGCUUUUUUUUUCUUGCCAUAAUACAAAUUUUAACAGUCUAACAGGACUGUCAGCUGUGUAUCCACCUGACUUCUGCACAACACAACUGAUGGUCCCAAGCCCAUUUAUAAGGCAAGAAAUCACACUUAUUAAACCUGACAUGGCACACCUGUGAAGUGAAGACCAUUUCAGGUGACUACCUCUUGAAGCUCAUCAAGAGAAUGCCAAGAGUGUGCAAAGCAGUAAUCAAAGCAAAAGGUUGCUACUUUGAAGAACCUACAAAUAUGACAUAUUUUCAGUUGUUUCACAAUUUUUG
Long non-coding RNA from Carassius auratus (goldfish), 2443 nucleotides. The record is from Ensembl. Lineage: Eukaryota; Metazoa; Chordata; Actinopteri; Cypriniformes; Cyprinidae.